AGUUUCUUAAGUUAAUAAAACUUUUAUAUCUGUUGAAGUCUAAUGUAUGAAAUAUAUUUUAUUUUAAAAUACUUUAUUUGAUUAUACGCCUUAAUUGUAAGUAUAGCACUCAUUAUACUUACAAUUAAGAAUAUUUUGAGCAAUUAAUUAACCGACAAUGAGUUGGAAUUUAUUUAGGAAAAAAAAAUUUAUUUUUAAGAUAUAACAUAUAUAACAUUAAGUUAAAGACCAUUUUAUUAUGUAAUUUUAAAUAUUUCGGUUGUAGUAUAACAGUUCUUGGUUUAUAUAUGUAUGUGUGAUGACAGUUAAUUAGGUGUUAUCGUUCGUGCCCCGAGUCUUGAACAGACAAAUCUUGCCAUUACUUAGAUUCAAUUAUUUUUUAAACACAUUUGCGCAACAAAUACUACGAGUAAUUUUUUGUGAAGACUAAUUAAUCUGCUUGAUAUUUAUAGACGUAGGAUAUAAUAGAUCUCGCGUUUGAUUAGAAAGAAAAAUAAAUUAAUAAAAAAAAUAAAAUUAAUGAAAACAUGAAAAAUAAAUGUAAACCACAGUGUUUUAUUUCAAUAAAGUAUAUGUAUGUUAAAAAAGAAAGAAGAAAGUACAAAUUGAAAUGCUAAAUAAUAAGAACUAUAAAGUAAUGCUUCUUAACAUUCAUACAAGCAAUAAUAUAAUAAUUUUUUUUAAUUUACAAAUAUCAUGCACUUUUAAUUUACCAAAUUAAAUGUAAUUUGUCGUGUUUCGAAUUGAGAGGACGUAGCGUAAUGCACGAAAACUCGGUAACGUAAAUAAUUCUACAGAAAAUCUCACCGUAUAAUAUAACCAUCAUAUUUAACUUGAAAUACAAAAAGAAUAUUUGGCAAGAAUUUAAUAAAUUAUUAAAUAAUUCGAAAUGUAAUAGCUUAUUCUUGCCCAGCUUACUCUUCUAAUCAUUAAUAAUAUUUUGUUAAUAUAAUUUUUUACAAAUAAACAUUAUAUAAUUAUAAACGCGACUAAUAACCAGUUGUGUUAAAAAAUGUUAAAUUUCGAAACGUUUUGACUAUAACAACAGUUAUAGUCAAACUAACAGUUAAAAAUGAUGACCAUUGAACAACCAUAAAACAGCGCAUGUCGUAUCAAAUGUGUCAUAAUAAAUAAAAACGUGAACCAACAAACAAUACAAUUAAAUAAAUAAUAAAAUAAAAAAUAAUGAAAUUUUUUUGCAAGUCGGUUUUCAUAUUAAAAUAAAUCUAAAAGAUCAAAAACGUUGGAAUACGUGUUAUGAAUAGCAUAAACUGAUAUGCGUACUGUAAAAAACUGUAAAUUUAUAUAUGUUGUUCCCAGAUCUUAAAACACAAUAUUAAAACGGGCAACAAUACACAGAGUAUUCGACAAAGCGUUAAAGACCAGUGUAACGUUCGGUAAUCAGAGGCAGAAACACUGGUCUUUAUUUAAUUUAAAUAAAUACCUUUAACUUAAAUUACAAAUAUUUUGGUAACGAAACUUGCUCAAGUAUCUAUAUCCUUUUGUUUCACAGUGAUAGACUGAUAUGUGCUCGGUAUUUUUUUUUUUUUAAGUGAAUUAAAAUUUGUAUAGUCUUUCAGAAGAAAUCUUCCCUCCCACGAGUACGACCUUGACGUGGUGGGAGGGCUUAGUACCCCGAGGGCUUGAAAGCCUACACGGAGAGAAUUUUCUCUUAAAAUUUAUCCUGAAAAUCUGAUAUUUGUGAGAUAAUUGUGUGACCUCCAGGGAUUUUACUAUAUUGUUUAGUAAAAUUUAUUAAAAGCAUAAUAAAUUUUACUAAAAAGUCUAGUAAAAUUCCUCGAGGUCAUACAUUAUCCCACAAUUAUCAGAUUUUGAGGGUAAAUUUUAAGAAAUAAUUAUCUCCGUGUAUGGGGGAAGCAAACUGUACUCAUUGCACUUAUUACGUCGUCGAUUUUGUCGCGCCGCGUUUUCGGGAGUGCCGACCGGUUAAUUGAAAACGAAUCGCAGCCGGUUCGUCGCGUCGCGCGUUUGCUUCGGGAGUGCCGUUCGUAACUGUACUAAAGUAAUCAUAAUAAAAGUUUUUCUCAUAAUUCUUAUUCGAUUGAGUCUUAGUUUGAUGCCGGAAGUCGCACUUUCGACGUUAGCAAUCACGGCCGCGAGUGUCUCGUGCAACAAGAGGAAGAGAAAAAGAUGGAGGCCUGGGAAAGGUAUCAGACCUCGGCACAUCAACCUUCGGUAUCAUCAUAGCAAGUGUCUUGUGCAAAGAGAGGAGGAGGAGGUCUAGAAAAGGCAUCGGGCCCCGGCAGAGCAACCUUGGGAAUCAUCGUAGCGACGUUGCUGAAUAACUCUGCUGCUGCGCAUCGGUCGGUGAGUGAUGAAUAAACUUUUAAAAUUGGGGUAAUAGAUCUGUGACAAAAUUAUACUUCAAACAUAGUGUAGAAUUGUUUGUUAUAAUGAUGCAAUAAUAAAUUACAUACAGAUAUUAUAUUUAUUUCAUGGAUCUAUUGCCUCAAAAUGAAUAGACUAGAACAAAUUAGGACUUAAUAUUUAAUAUUGGAUAAAUUAUACGAAUUAACUUAUUAUCCAAUAUCAUGCAUAUUGGAGACGCUGUUUCGUCUCCGAUAAACUUUUCUAAUUAAUUUUGUUAAAUAACAAAAAUAAAAUAAAAUAAAUUCCGAUUAACUAAAUUUAAUCAUGAACUUAAAAUGUUUUAAACUUUUUUUAAAUUUUAUUUUUUCCAUGGAAUAAUCACAGUUGCAAUGAUUAAUCAUACGGUUAGGCAGGUAAUAAGGAUAAGUAGGAAUAGGUAGAAAAUAUAUAAUAGGUAGGGAAUAGAGAGGUCAGGAACGGAUAGGUAGGGAAUAGAUAGAAAACGGAUCGGUAAGGUAUUCAAUGUAUGAAAA
This 2864-nucleotide long non-coding RNA is filed under the name Monomorium pharaonis (pharaoh ant). RNAcentral's name for it is "uncharacterized LOC118644567". Lineage: Eukaryota; Metazoa; Arthropoda; Insecta; Hymenoptera; Formicidae. The record is from RNAcentral.